AUACAUGCAAGUCGAGCGAACGGACGAGAAGCUUGCUUCUCUGAUGUUAGCGGCGGACGGGUGAGUAACACGUGGAUAACCUACCUAUAAGACUGGGAUAACUUCGGGAAACCGGAGCUAAUACCGGAUAAUAUUUUGAACCGCAUGGUUCAAAAGUGAAAGACGGUCUUGCUGUCACUUAUAGAUGGAUCCGCGCUGCAUUAGCUAGUUGGUAAGGUAACGGCUUACCAAGGCAACGAUGCAUAGCCGACCUGAGAGGGUGAUCGGCCACACUGGAACUGAGACACGGUCCAGACUCCUACGGGAGGCAGCAGUAGGGAAUCUUCCGCAAUGGGCGAAAGCCUGACGGAGCAACGCCGCGUGAGUGAUGAAGGUCUUCGGAUCGUAAAACUCUGUUAUUAGGGAAGAACAUAUGUGUAAGUAACUGUGCACAUCUUGACGGUACCUAAUCAGAAAGCCACGGCUAACUACGUGCCAGCAGCCGCGGUAAUACGUAGGUGGCAAGCGUUAUCCGGAAUUAUUGGGCGUAAAGCGCGCGUAGGCGGUUUUUUAAGUCUGAUGUGAAAGCCCACGGCUCAACCGUGGAGGGUCAUUGGAAACUGGAAAACUUGAGUGCAGAAGAGGAAAGUGGAAUUCCAUGUGUAGCGGUGAAAUGCGCAGAGAUAUGGAGGAACACCAGUGGCGAAGGCGACUUUCUGGUCUGUAACUGACGCUGAUGUGCGAAAGCGUGGGGAUCAAACAGGAUUAGAUACCCUGGUAGUCCACGCCGUAAACGAUGAGUGCUAAGUGUUAGGGGGUUUCCGCCCCUUAGUGCUGCAGCUAACGCAUUAAGCACUCCGCCUGGGGAGUACGACCGCAAGGUUGAAACUCAAAGGAAUUGACGGGGACCCGCACAAGCGGUGGAGCAUGUGGUUUAAUUCGAAGCAACGCGAAGAACCUUACCAAAUCUUGACAUCCUUUGACAACUCUAGAGAUAGAGCUUUCCCCUUCGGGGGACAAAGUGACAGGUGGUGCAUGGUUGUCGUCAGCUCGUGUCGUGAGAUGUUGGGUUAAGUCCCGCAACGAGCGCAACCCUUAAGCUUAGUUGCCAUCAUUAAGUUGGGCACUCUAAGUUGACUGCCGGUGACAAACCGGAGGAAGGUGGGGAUGACGUCAAAUCAUCAUGCCCCUUAUGAUUUGGGCUACACACGUGCUACAAUGGACAAUACAAAGGGCAGCGAAACCGCGAGGUCAAGCAAAUCCCAUAAAGUUGUUCUCAGUUCGGAUUGUAGUCUGCAACUCGACUACAUGAAGCUGGAAUCGCUAGUAAUCGUAGAUCAGCAUGCUACGGUGAAUACGUUCCCGGGUCUUGUACACACCGCCCGUCACACCACGAGAGUUUGUAACACCCGAAGCCGGUGGAGUAACCUUUUAGGAGCUAGCCGUCGAAGGUG
This 1433-nucleotide ribosomal RNA is filed under the name Staphylococcus aureus. RNAcentral describes it as "bacterial SSU rRNA". It matches the Rfam family "Bacterial small subunit ribosomal RNA". The record is from RNAcentral. Lineage: Bacteria; Bacillati; Bacillota; Bacilli; Caryophanales; Staphylococcaceae.